UGGGGAAUUUUGGACAAUGGGGGAAACCCUGAUCCAGCCAUCCCGCGUGUGCGAUGAAGGCCUUCGGGUUGUAAAGCACUUUUGGCAGGAAAGAAACGUCGCGGGUUAAUACCCCGCGAAACUGACGGUACCUGCAGAAUAAGCACCGGCUAACUACGUGCCAGCAGCCGCGGUAAUACGUAGGGUGCAAGCGUUAAUCGGAAUUACUGGGCGUAAAGCGUGCGCAGGCGGUUCGGAAAGAGAGAUGUGAAAUCCCAGAGCUUAACUUUGGAACUGCAUUUUUUAACUACCGGGCUAGAGUGUGUCAGAGGGAGGUGGAAUUCCGCGUGUAGCAGUGAAAUGCGUAGAUAUGCGGAGGAACACCGAUGGCGAAGGCAGCCUCCUGGGAUAACACUGACGCUCAUGCACGAAAGCGUGGGGAGCAAACAGGAUUAGAUACCCUGGUAGUCCACGCCCUAAACGAUGUCAACUAGCUGUUGGGGCCUUCGGGCCUUGGUAGCGCAGCUAACGCGUGAAGUUGACCGCCUGGGGAGUACGGUCGCAAGAUUAAAACUCAAAUGAAUUGACGGGGGUCAUAGCUGUUUCCUG
This 588-nucleotide ribosomal RNA is filed under the name uncultured bacterium. Its description in RNAcentral is "partial 16S ribosomal RNA". It matches the Rfam family "Bacterial small subunit ribosomal RNA", at positions 355 to 941 of the family's 1533-position model. The record is from RNAcentral.